This 468-nucleotide ribosomal RNA is filed under the name uncultured bacterium. RNAcentral describes it as "partial 16S ribosomal RNA". It matches the Rfam family "Bacterial small subunit ribosomal RNA", at positions 28 to 507 of the family's 1533-position model. The record is from RNAcentral.
GACGAACGCUGGCGGCGUGCUUAACACAUGCAAGUCGAACGGUGAAGCUCCAGCUUGCUGGAGUGGAUCAGUGGCGAACGGGUGAGUAACACGUGAGCAACCUGCCCCUGACUCUGGAAUAAGCGCUGGAAACGGCGUCUAAUACUGGAUACGAGGAGGGUCCGCAUGGGCACUUUCUGGAAAGUUUUUCGGUUGGGGAUGGGCUCGCGGCCUAUCAGCUUGUUGGUGAGGUAAUGGCUCACCAAGGCGACGACGGGUAGCCGGCCUGAGAGGGCGACCGGCCACACUGGGACUGAGACACGGCCCAGACUCCUACGGGAGGCAGCAGUGGGGAAUAUUGCACAAUGGGCGAAAGCCUGAUGCAGCGACGCCGCGUGAGGGAUGACGGCCUUCGGGUUGUAAACCUCUUUCAGCAGGGAAGAAGCGAAAGUGACGGUACCUGCAGAAGAAGCACCGGCUAACUACGUG